RNAcentral lists this unclassified non-coding RNA (342 nucleotides) under Hevea brasiliensis (rubber tree). The record is from RNAcentral. Lineage: Eukaryota; Viridiplantae; Streptophyta; Magnoliopsida; Malpighiales; Euphorbiaceae.
AAACAAUACAAUUUGGAAAUUCGGCACUAAAUUGUUAUUUUGACUUCAAAGAUGAGGAUAGUUAUCUAUGUCUGCCCUUGUAGAAACUGAACAUAGAGUUAUAACUGAAGUAGAACAGUUACUUAUUCUAUUCUGACACUAAAUUAUGUAAAAAGCAAAGCUCUUGGCACUAUAGGUUUUAUUAUAUAAAAAUAGAGGCUCGAAGUGAGUUUAUAAGUUUAGCAUAUACUGCUGGCAUAGAAAAGAAUUAGCAUUAACAUCAUGUCUGUACUCUGUAGCGAGUUUACUUGUUUAGAAUAACUUCAUCAUUUUCUUUCCUUCUGAGUUGAAUUUUGCUGCUAG